CAGUUUUAGGCUACUGAGCUCUCUUUCUUUACCUCUUUUUUCUUUUUAUGUGGAGGCAAAUUGCUUGCUUCUUUGGUCUCUCCUCUUCCACUUCUUAGCAAUCUAGCAAGGGAAAGUGUUUUCCUUUUGUGGGUACGCAAGUUUCUUGGAACAAGAAGGAAAGAAUUAGCUAGCUAGUAUGGGGCUCUCAAGUUUCCCUUGUGCAGCUGAAGGAGUGCUUCCCGUGCUGGUAAUGAACACGGUUAUAUCAGUAGCUUUAUUCAAGAACAUGGUCAGGUCUGUGCUCCAAGUGAUGGGUGCUAAUUGGACUCCACAAGAUUAUGAGCAAGACCCAGAUGGGCGUAUUAUUCCUCAAGAAAAUGCAAGAGAGAGAAGAAUUUCAAUAACCCAGUUCAAAUCCUUGACCACCCCCAAUAGUCCCAGUGGCAGUGGUGGUGGCAGUGGCGGUGGCAGUGGUCGGGCUGGUGGUGCUACAGUGGAAUGUUGUGUAUGUCUUUGUGGGUUUGAAGCUGAAGAGGAGGUGAGUGAACUGU
Molecule: unclassified non-coding RNA, 533 nt
Filed under: Hevea brasiliensis (rubber tree)
Lineage: Eukaryota; Viridiplantae; Streptophyta; Magnoliopsida; Malpighiales; Euphorbiaceae
Source: RNAcentral